CUUCUUCUUCUAACUUAGGGAAUUUAAGUUCUCAAGAGCAAAAAGAAAAAGACAUGGCUCAAACAAUGUUGCUGACAGCCAAUGCCAAAGUUGAUUUAAGGAGUAAAGAAUCCUUAGUCGAAAGACUAAAGCCUAAGCCUUUGUCUUCUUUCUUUUUGCCUUCUCUUCCUUUGAAAUACCCUUCUGCUUCUGCUUCUGCUUCUUCACAUUUCACAAGUACUACUGUUGCUCUUUUCAAGUCUAAAGCCAAAGCUCCAGCCAAAAAGGUUAGCUAAUUACUGUUGACAAAAAGUCCUUAGCUUAUCCCCUUUUAUUAUAUACUGUAUGUAUUUUGUUAAUUUUCAUUUACCGUCUUUCUUUAAUUUGUUGAAUAUCUUAUUUUUUGAUGGAGCAACAGGUUGUACCAAAGCCAAAGGAAAAAGUUGAGGAUGGGAUUUUUGGAACCUCAGGAGGAAUUGGUUUCACUAAGCAAAAUGAGCUCUUUGUUGGCCGUGUUGCUAUGAUUGGUUUUGCGGUGAGUAUUUCGAUUAAUUAGUUUAUCUUAAUUUUUUAAUGGUUCUUAAAUUAAAAAUAAACAAAAGACUUUUAUUACUCUACUAAAGGCUCAAUACUAUAGUAUUUGCAUAGUUAGACAAAUGAGUCGCAUCCCAAGACCAAAGCCUUAUUUUAUUGAACAGGUAACGGAUAAUGUGGUAUCAGUUCGAAAAAAAAUUAUUCGGACUCAAUGCAUGUAUCAUAAUUCAUAACAUGUAGAUUUGUCGUAGUUAAGUGAUAAUUAUAUUAAUUAAAAUUUUGUGUUUACUUGCACUUGUUGCUAUGAUAUCGCUUUGUCUAGUGAUAAUUCAAUGUAAAAAUUCAUAUUAAUUAUAUAUAGAGAGCUCUGUGUUUAAAUUGUUCUGUGUAUAGAUGCUAUAGAAAACUUUGGAUUUUUGGACCAUUUCAAAUGUGGACAAAGAGUAUGAGAAAAUAUCCUUUACAUUUUGAAAAUACUUUGACACCUUCUGAUUCCUCCUUAAUAACUAGCCCGUUUGUUCAUAAUUUUUUUUUUCAAUUAUUUUUUCAGAAAUGAGUUUUUCAAAAACCAAAAAGUGAUUUUGACCAUUUUUUUUCCAAAUUUUCAGAAAAACUUUUUUCUCCCUCACAAAACUGCAAUAUUUUUUCAAAUGAAAUGCAUGCCAAACAUAAUUUUAAAUUCCAAAUACCAUUUUUCAACUUAACUCUAAAUACUAGUAGUAAUUUCAAAAAUUACAAUUUUUAUGUCCAAACUCCUACUAAAAUUUAAGUGAUAUUUCCUGGUAUAAAUACAUAAAUUUUGCAGCACUAAUGUAAUGAAGUUAUAUAGGCAUCUUUGUUGGGAGAAGCAAUAACAGGAAAGGGAAUAUUGGCACAACUGAAUCUUGAAACUGGAAUUCCAAUCUAUGAAGCAGAGCCACUACUAUUGUUCUUCAUCCUAUUCAAUCUGCUUGGAGCCAUUGGAGCUUUGGGAGACAGAGGAAAAUUUAUUGAUGACCCUGCCCCUCCUACUGGUCUUGAUAAGGCUGUUAUCCCUCCUGGCAAAGGCUUUAAGUCUGCUUUGGGACUUAGCGAAGGAGGUAUUUACUAUAACAACCUCCACUUUUUCUUCAUAUAUACUAUGUAUACUUGACGAGGGUUUGUCAGCUUAUUGUUUUUGACUUGUUUUAAUCACUUUAUAGUUUUGUUAAAUACUGAAAAAGAGUUUAAAAGUUGAUUUGACAAACUUAAUAGCCAAUCCAAAAACCCUCUAAACCCUUGGGGGUGGCUGAAUUGGUUGAGCAUGGGACUUCACAAAUUGGAGGUCUAGAGUUCGAAACUACUUGCAUGCCUCUUCAGUCGAGCAUGUCGCACGGGACUUGUUAUUAGUGGAGUUUACCAUGUGUGCACCCUAUAACUCUUUAGGGGGCACUGGUUAAGCAAAAUACCAUGUCCCGUUGCGAAAAAAUCUUGGAUCCGCCUCUAGUAGCGGCUACGGGUUAUAUAUUUUGUCUUUUUAUUAAUUGAGUUGUACCAGCUGCAUUUAGACAAAGAUACUCCUUUUUAGGAGUAAAAUUAUCUACAGUAUUUUAUAGUGUUUGAGUUGGUUUCAAGAAUCAACUUGUGGUACUAUAAACAUGUACAUUAUGAAAGAGGUGUAUAAAAUAAUCUUUAGUUUGUUUGGCGUUGGAUUUAACGAAAGCGUUGUGUAUAUAUAUAUAUAUAUAUAUAUAUAUAUAUAUAUAUGCAGGUCCUCUAUUUGGAUUCACAAAGGCAAAUGAGCUGUUUGUAGGAAGGUUGGCACAACUGGGAAUUGCUUUCUCCAUUAUAGGAGAAAUUAUCACAGGGAAAGGAGCUUUGGCACAACUUAACUUUGAGACAGGUGUCCCAAUCAAUGAGAUUGAGCCCCUUUUGUUGUUUAACAUUGUCUUCUUCUUCGUUGCUGCCAUAAAUCCAGGAACUGGC
This 2457-nucleotide long non-coding RNA is filed under the name Nicotiana tabacum (common tobacco). Its description in RNAcentral is "long non-coding RNA (NTAB_LNC013025)". Lineage: Eukaryota; Viridiplantae; Streptophyta; Magnoliopsida; Solanales; Solanaceae. The record is from RNAcentral.